CCUACGGGGGGCUGCAGUAGGGAAUCUUCCACAAUGGGCGAAAGCCUGAUGGAGCAACGCCGCGUGGGUGAAGAAGGUCUUCGGAUCGUAAAACCCUGUUGUUAGAGAAGAAAGUGCGUGAGAGUAACUGUUCACGUUUCGACGGUAUCUAACCAGAAAGCCACGGCUAACUACGUGACAGCAGCCGCGGUAAUACGUAGGUGGCAAGCGUUAUCCGGAUUUAUUGGGCGUAAAGGGAACGCAGGCGGUCUUUUAAGUCUGAUGUGAAAGCCUUCGGCUUAACCGGAGUAGUGCAUUGGAAACUGGGAGACUUGAGUGCAGAAGAGGAGAGUGGAACUCCAUGUGUAGCGGUGAAAUGCGUAGAUAUAUGGAAGAACACCAGUGGCGAAAGCGGCUCUCUGGUCUGUAACUGACGCUGAGGUUCGAAAGCGUGGGUAGCAAACAGGAUUAGAUACCCCAGUAGUC
This 465-nucleotide ribosomal RNA is filed under the name uncultured bacterium. RNAcentral describes it as "partial 16S ribosomal RNA". It matches the Rfam family "Bacterial small subunit ribosomal RNA", at positions 338 to 795 of the family's 1533-position model. The record is from RNAcentral.